RNAcentral lists this transfer RNA (72 nucleotides) under Ovis aries (sheep). It matches the Rfam family "tRNA". From Rfam's summary of the family: Transfer RNA (tRNA) molecules are approximately 80 nucleotides in length. The record is from Rfam by way of RNAcentral. Lineage: Eukaryota; Metazoa; Chordata; Mammalia; Artiodactyla; Bovidae.
UCCCUAGCGGCUUAGAUGGUAAAGCGUCUGCCUGCAAUGCAGAAGACCCGAGUUCGAUCCCUGGGUUGGGAA